UGUUAAUUGAAGAGAUCAUUUCCAUGCCAAUAAAAGAAGAAAACUACUGUCCUUCUCAUUUUUGGUGUCUAUGGGUUACGGAAUCGAUCGAGUAAAAGAUCUAAGUGCAUCAGCAGUCAGAGACUAUUGUGGCUUCCUGAAAGGAAUCUGCACACCAGAGGCUGUCUGUCUCCAAAUAGUUCUGCUUUUGCAAAGUCCUUCUCCUCAGUGCUGAGACUCUACUCUCAUGAAGGUACAAUCAGGGUGAGUUUCCUGCUGUUUGUUUGCCUGUGGAAUCAGCGUCCC
This is a long non-coding RNA of Motacilla alba alba, 285 nucleotides long. RefSeq lists it as uncharacterized. The transcript is spliced from 3 exons. NCBI's taxonomy places the organism in Eukaryota, Metazoa, Chordata, Aves, Passeriformes, Motacillidae. The record is from RefSeq and is a predicted model, not a curated record.